UACGGAGGGGGCUAGCGUUGUUCGGAAUUACUGGCGUAAAGCGCGCGUAGGCGGCUUUGCAAGUUAGAGGUGAAAGCCCGGAGCUUAACUCCGGAACUGCCUUUAAAACUGCAUCGCUAGAAUCGUGGAGAGGUGAGUGGAAUUCCGAGUGUAGAGGUGAAAUUCGUAGAUAUUCGGAAGAACACCAGUGGCGAAGGCGACUCACUGGACACGUAUUGACGCUGAGGUGCGAAAGCGUGGGGAGCAAACAGGG
Molecule: ribosomal RNA, 253 nt
Filed under: uncultured bacterium
Lineage: Bacteria
Description: partial 16S ribosomal RNA
Rfam family: Bacterial small subunit ribosomal RNA
Source: RNAcentral